This 426-nucleotide ribosomal RNA is filed under the name uncultured bacterium. Its description in RNAcentral is "partial 16S ribosomal RNA". It matches the Rfam family "Bacterial small subunit ribosomal RNA", at positions 354 to 796 of the family's 1533-position model. The record is from RNAcentral.
GUGAGGAAUUUUCCGCAAUGGGCGAAAGCCUGACGGAGCAAUGCCGCGUGAAGGAUGAAGGCCUAUGGGUUGUAAACUUCUUUUCUUAGAGAAGAAUAUUGACGGUAUCUGAGGAAUAAGCAUCGGCUAACUCUGUGCCAGCAGCCGCGGUAAGACAGAGGAUGCAAGCGUUAUCCGGAAUGAUUGGGCGUAAAGCGUCUGUAGGUGGCUUCAAAAGUCUCCUGUCAAAGAUCAGGGCUGAACCCUGGGCCGGCAGGAGAAACUCUGAGGGUAGAGUUUGGUAGGGGCAGAGGUAAUUCCCGGUGGAGCGGUGAAAUGCGUAGAGAUCGGGAGGAACACCAAAGGCGAAAGCACUCUGCUGGGCCACAACUGACACUGAGAGACGAAAGCCAGGGGAGCAAAAGGGAUUAGAAACCCGUGUAGUCC